AACGAGAAGGCAAAACAGAAAUGUAUCAACAAUCUGAGGCAUAAUUUGCUAUAUAAACCGAGCUAAAUCAACGAGGUGGCCAGAUUUGUUUUGCACUUGUGAAAAAUGUUUAUUACGUCAAAAAUUCCAUUACUGCUUCUCGCGGUAGUGCCCCUCGUCUAUGCUAAUUGUGGACAAUAUCAACAAGAAGUACCAAGAAUUAGACAGCCAUUACAUCAGGGAUGUCAAGAUUACGAUAUACGCAUCAGACACGGAUACAUGUACUAUAAUUGCAAGAGUUUCAGCCAGAAAAUGGGUUCUUGUCCAACUAACACCACCGAAUUUGAUCUGACGGUCGACGGAUAUGAUGAUAUAAAAUGCGUGGGCGAUUGGUAUUGUCCGCCUGGUUUCAAAUGUUGCCCCGAAGACACCGCAAAACCGUAUCAUAUUUGCAAGAAAGCUAUUUUAGAAGUCGAAAAAAAGAAAACAAAUGGCAAAAAUCAUAAUGAUAUAAAAAAUGGUAAUGGUAAUGACAACAAAAAUGGCAAUGGCCCAACAAUUACACCACCACCAACCACUGCACCACCUCCAACAUCACCUAGACCAAAUGUCGUUUGAUAAUCUGUAUAAAAUCCAAUAAUAGUGAAUUGUUGAAAAACUAUUUUUAAUUCAGCAUUAAACGCCCCACCAAAUACGUCUGCUGAUUACAUUUCAAGGAUUUUAAUAAUAAUACUUACUUGUCCUAGAUUGCAUUUAGCAAAUAUUUGUAUUAAAUGUUUGAAAAUUA
Dalotia coriaria is the source of this 766-nucleotide long non-coding RNA. RefSeq lists it as uncharacterized. The record is from RefSeq and is a predicted model, not a curated record. Lineage: Eukaryota; Metazoa; Arthropoda; Insecta; Coleoptera; Staphylinidae. The transcript has 3 exons.